GCGGAAAUAGCUCAGUUGGUAGAGCAUAACCUUGCCAAGGAUAGGGUCGCGAGUUCGAGUCUCGUUUUCCGCU
Molecule: transfer RNA, 73 nt
Filed under: Caudoviricetes sp.
Lineage: Duplodnaviria; Heunggongvirae; Uroviricota; Caudoviricetes
Description: tRNA-Gly
Rfam family: tRNA
About the family: Transfer RNA (tRNA) molecules are approximately 80 nucleotides in length.
Source: RNAcentral